This 1414-nucleotide long non-coding RNA is filed under the name Musa acuminata (dwarf banana). RNAcentral describes it as "long non-coding RNA (MACU_LNC006221)". The record is from RNAcentral. Lineage: Eukaryota; Viridiplantae; Streptophyta; Magnoliopsida; Zingiberales; Musaceae.
UCCAGUAGGAGGAAAGGAAUCAAACAUAUAUGGAAGAGUGAACUAUCCAUACAGUAAAGAAAUUUCUCAAGUCGACAUAUAUAUAUAUAUAUAUAUAUAUAUAUAUAUAUAUAUAUAAACUGUGAUAUGAAUACUAUGUUCUUUCCCCUUAUAGAAGGGCAUCAUGAUAGAGGGUGAACCUUGGUGCCGCAGCUAAUUUGUUUUGCGACCUGGGUGCCUAGUGUAUUGGUCAUGCAAAUAGUCUCUCUUCUUACAGAAGACUGCAUAAAUUGACUCUCCUCAUACCCCACAUUAGCAAGAGCUUUUUGCAUUGAGCUGCCAUCCUUGCUUAGAUGUUUACCAUGGUAAGAUAUGCACAUGUUCAAAAGAAUGUAUGUGAAUAUCCCCAGUAAAAUUUAGGUUUGUUUCAUUUCACAUAAUUGUGCAGGUAUUUUUGCUGUUUACAGCACAUUAUCUAAAUAAGGCAGAUCAUGUAUUUCAUGAUGUGACAUAGAAGCUUAGGUUUUCUGAUGAGCUUGUAUAUGGCUUUCAUCUACUACUGGAACCAUCAUGCUUGGUGGUGUCCAUACUUUCAUUACAUACGAAUUAUCUUUCUUUGAUUUCUUCAGGUGUGCUCGGCUCUGCAGUCCAGAUUUUUGUUAACAAGUGUGUAUCAAGCAAGUCAUGUAUAAGUUUCAAAACUGAAAAAUAGGGAUAUAUUCAAAUAUGAAAAAUUACAUUUCCACUAUGUUCCACCUUGAAUAUAUCACCACCAACUGAGCUUGCUUGGACCAUAGGCUAAAACUACAUGGUACUAUGCAACUCACAUGCCUAGAUACAUGAUUGGAAAGCUGCCCAAGCAGGGUAAGAACAUGUCAAUUAGGAUAGAUCGGCUCGUCAGACCAUGUGUCCCCCAUUUUUCCUAAAAACAACUAGCAUCAGACAAAAGAAACUUGGAGUAAUAUCCUAGUUCUGGACUAUGUAGGUCAAGUCCAGCCCCCUUUUUUUCAUUAUGGAUGCUCCUUGCUCCAUUCACAUGGUUUCUGCUCCCAAGAUCUAAUGAAAAUUUACAAGUAGCCUCCUAUCUGAGACUAAACAGCAGAGCUUCGGCACCAUGUCAAAAGCUGGACCCAACAAAAGAACCUCUGUAGUUGUAGGAGUAAGGCACUAUAUAUUGGCGCUCCCCAAACCCCACAUUGGCAAAAGCAUUAUGCACUCGAUUGCCUGCUUUGUCUAAGAUUUGAAUUUUGAAGUUUACUUUUGUUUAUGAAUCAAAUUGAAAACCAGACAUUCAUUGUGCUUCACUCUGUACGAGCUAAAAACUGUACAUUCUAUGCAAUAAGAAUUUUGGAUCAGCAGUAGGAUACACAGGCACCUUCCUAAAUAGUUGGUGUACAGGAGUAAUCUGCAAGUCUAUGGUAAUCAUAGUAACUUU